RNAcentral lists this unclassified non-coding RNA (306 nucleotides) under plant metagenome. RNAcentral's name for it is "partial contains 5.8S ribosomal RNA, internal transcribed spacer 2, and large subunit ribosomal RNA". The stretch from base 1 to 105 matches the Rfam family "5.8S ribosomal RNA", at positions 50 to 154 of the family's 154-position model. The record is from RNAcentral.
GAAAUGCGAUAAGUAAUGUGAAUUGCAGAAUUCAGUGAAUCAUCGAAUCUUUGAACGCACAUUGCGCCCGCCAGUAUUCUAGCGGGCAUGCCUGUCCGAGCGUCAUUUCAACCAUCAAGCCCCCGGGCUUGUGUUGGGGACCUGCGGCUGCCCGCAGGCCCUGAAAACCAGUGGCGGGCUCGCUGUCACACCGAGCGUAGUAGCAAUCACCUCGCUCAGGGCGUGCUGCGGGUUCCGGCCGUUAAACAGCCUUACAAAACCCAAGGUUGACCUCGGAUCAGGUAGGAAGACCCGCUGAACUUAAGC